AGAGUUUGAUCCUGGCUCAGGAUGAACGCUAGCUACAGGCUUAACACAUGCAAGUCGAGGGGAAACGACAUCGAAAGCUUGCUUUUGAUGGGCGUCGACCGGCGCACGGGUGAGUAACGCGUAUCCAACCUGCCCAUCACUUGGGGAUAACCUUGCGAAAGUAAGACUAAUACCCAAUGAUAUCUCUAGAAGACAUCUGAAGGAGAUUAAAGAUUCAUCGGUGAUGGAUGGGGAUGCGUCUGAUUAGCUUGUUGGCGGGGUAACGGCCCACCAAGGCGACGAUCAGUAGGGGUUCUGAGAGGAAGGUCCCCCACAUUGGAACUGAGACACGGUCCAAACUCCUACGGGAGGCAGCAGUGAGGAAUAUUGGUCAAUGGGCGAGAGCCUGAACCAGCCAAGUAGCGUGCAGGAUGACGGCCCUAUGGGUUGUAAACUGCUUUUAUAAGGGAAUAAAGUGAGUCUCGUGAGACUUUUUGCAUGUACCUUAUGAAUAAGGACCGGCUAAUUCCGUGCCAGCAGCCGCGGUAAUACGGAAGGUCCGGGCGUUAUCCGGAUUUAUUGGGUUUAAAGGGAGCGUAGGCCGGAGAUUAAGCGUGUUGUGAAAUGUAGUGGCUCAACCUCUGCACUGCAGCGCGAACUGGUCUUCUUGAGUACGCACAACGUGGGCGGAAUUCGUGGUGUAGCGGUGAAAUGCUUAGAUAUCACGAAGAACUCCGAUUGCGAAGGCAGCUCACGGGAGCGCAACUGACGCUGAAGCUCGAAAGUGCGGGUAUCGAACAGGAUUAGAUACCCUGGUAGUCCGCACGGUAAACGAUGGAUGCCCGCUGUUGGCCUGAAUAGGUCAGCGGCCAAGCGAAAGCAUUAAGCAUCCCACCUGGGGAGUACGCCGGCAACGGUGAAACUCAAAGGAAUUGACGGGGGCCCGCACAAGCGGAGGAACAUGUGGUUUAAUUCGAUGAUACGCGAGGAACCUUACCCGGGCUUGAAUUGCAGAGGAAGGAUUUGGAGACAAUGACGCCCUUCGGGGUCUCUGUGAAGGUGCUGCAUGGUUGUCGUCAGCUCGUGCCGU
RNAcentral lists this ribosomal RNA (1069 nucleotides) under uncultured bacterium. Its description in RNAcentral is "bacterial SSU rRNA". It matches the Rfam family "Bacterial small subunit ribosomal RNA", at positions 8 to 1068 of the family's 1533-position model. The record is from RNAcentral.